RNAcentral lists this long non-coding RNA (3649 nucleotides) under Cairina moschata (Muscovy duck). RNAcentral describes it as "domestica (muscovy Duck (domestic type)) lncRNA (ENSCMMG00000001946.1)". Lineage: Eukaryota; Metazoa; Chordata; Aves; Anseriformes; Anatidae. The record is from RNAcentral.
AUGGCCCUGUCUCCAGCUCCGCAAAGAAGUUUUGGGCGGAUCGGGACCGCAACGAGAAACAUCCCCGUCCUCAUCUGGAGCAGGAUAUUCAGCACAAAGGGCUUUAUGAGACUCCCAAAGCGUGGCAUCUGGUUCUGCAUGCGAGGACUCUGCAUCCAAGGCUGCCGCGUGGCGAUGUUAUUGUUAGCAGUGAUUUCUAUUUCCAUAGCUCCGGGAGGCAGAGAUCAGAGUCCUGCUGGGCUGAACGCUGCGUGUACCGUAACAAAAAGGCAGUCGUGGUGCCAAACAACUUCCAGCCUUCUCCUUAAUGUAAGGACCGUGGAAUUAAGAUUGCCAUAGCAACAUCUUGCUCAUAUUGCAUGUAUAGAUAUGACUUGUCAGUCUCGUGUGUGUAUGUAUACAAACCCUAAAUAUCUCUGGCACCUUUUUCUGCUGUUGGGUUGAUGCCUCAUGUGUUACAGAUCUCAGUGCUCUUCCCCCACCACAUCCAGGCUUUCCAUCCUCCUGGUUUCUGCAUUUCCAUCCGCUGUUUUCAAGCAAGCCAGCCACCAGGAACGUGAUCAGUGCCCGUGUGCUCCUAUUGAUGCUUUCACCCAGCAAUUUGCAGAGCUCCCUGCCUGUAAUCAGCGGCCGAAAGCACCGCGCUUUGUAGGAGGAAACAUCUGGGAUGGCUGCUGGAUCCGGGCAGGCUGUUUCCCAUGAGGAUGAUGAAAAUGAGCCUUUGCUAACGGGGUAACUGAGCCCCUCGCUGACACGCAGUGAGGGUGUCAUUAGGACACUUCUUGCACCAUGCCUGGUGAUGAGCGUGUUAGUGCCCAGAGCUCUAAACCAGCCUUUUUGUUGGGGCUGAGGCACAGCCAGAGUACAAGCUCAGCUCCCUUUUCUGAAUGCAGCUUGGGUGGAACUGGGGGAGGCCCUGUGAUGUCCAAAAGCUGCCCUCCAGCCGUCCCCUAAAUGGGGCAGGACCCCUGGCUUGUGGCUGGGAGGAAGAAAGGGCAGAGUAAGGGAGGAGAGGGGCUGAGAGCCACGGGGAGCAGCAGGAGGCACCCCACAGCAUCCCUGCCUGCAGGAGGAUAAACAGGGACAUUGUGCCCUCUCCCCUCCUCUCCUUGAUUUAUUGUCCUGCUGUGGGACACCAAACACCUUGAGUAACUCGUGUGCUGUUGGGCAACGUAGGAGGAAAGCUUUUCUCAGAAAAUAAAGCCCUUAGAAGAGUUCUUGUUGGCCGCAAAAUACGUCAACUGAAUCUGAACCUUUCUGGCCUGACAAAAUGGGGUGAAAAGGCUUUGGCCAAGGCCAUACAAACCACGUGCACAGUUCAGCCUCUGCCAUACAAACCAUCCCGCUAGCAAAAGCCUUUUUGGCAAAGGGGGACUCUGGUGCUCCGUCCCACAGCAGCAUUGCCCCUGUCACCGUGUACUCAGAGUCCCGAAGGAAUACAAAGUUUUCCUUCUUUCCCUUGCCAUUUACUGCAGCUUUGGGCAGUUGGGCUGAAUGAGCAGGCUUUUCGGGUGCCAGACAAAAAAGCCCAUUAAGGGGCAGCGAAGUGUGCACACCGCAUGGGGCCGGGGCUGUGGGGACGAAGCAGGAGGGGGCUGGACAUGAGGCUGGUGGUUUGUCCUGAGUUUCCGUGGCAUAAAUGGACCCGUUUGUGUGUCUGUCUCUCCUGCAGAGGCCACUCAGGAUUUCCCAGCCUGGUGUUGCUGGAUCUGCCCCUUCCUGGGGGCUGCAGAAGGGCCAGUAAUAAUUUUGGUAAGCAUGAAGAGCUCCCUUGAGCCAGCCAAGGGAAAUGGAUAUGUCGCUGCCACUAAGCAGGCUCAGCCAUAAGGACAAGAUAAAUCGGCCCUAAAUAUGCCAAACAGCAUAGUGGCAUUUGUGGAGAACAACCGUUAUCUUUGUGUAGUUGACAAAAGUUAAUUGUCUCUUUUGCACUGACAAAAAUCAGCGUAGCAGGCAGCCUGUCCCCGUGUAGGGGGGGGGAAAUCCUUCAUUUAUAAGCAAUUCAUUAAGCAGCAUUAAAGCUGUCUCUGAAGACAAAAUAAUCUUUUUAAAGAGGACUCAAGGUACUGAGAAGGAAGAUUAAUGCCUCAGCUACUUUUCAAUUAUGCAGGUUUUCAGUUGUUAGGGUGUACCUGGAUUAACUCUUCCUGAGCCGAGCACCUUGGCAGGCACCGUGCCGAUGGGCAAUGCUCUGCACCUAAAAAUAAAAAAUAAAUAAAAGGUUUGGGAGUAUUUUGCACCAAUUGCGUUCUGUUUGGUCCUGGUGUUUGUACCUGUAACCUCUGCUCUGUGCCAUGGGAGCCAAGGAGCUGUGAUUGCUGACCCUAAUUCAGUUUCCUUCUCCUGUGAUCAUAUGUGGUCCUUGCACGAUCCAACGAGCCUGAAUGCCUCCAACACGCUGCAGGUAUUUUUCUUCAGUGUGAUUUACGUCAGAGUUUCUGGCAGAGCGUAAUUAGAAAAGGUCUCAUUGAUACCCCCACCGCCGUUUCUUUCCUUGCCGCCGCUUCCUCGAGCGCCAGACUUCUCUUAAUUGAAGCAGCGACGAGUCCAUUUAGCAGGAAGGUGGGAGGAAGCAGCCUGAGAACGAUUCAUCUAAAUCACCUCGCCGAUGCAAACAGUUGCUCACUACAUCUAUCAUAAUUUCUUCCAAGUGUCAUACGAGAGAUUAGUGGCUGUAACCAUGCAGAUGCAUGCACGUGGCCGGCACACCUACCCCGAUCUGCUCGUCUAGGGCAGCUGCAGAAAAAGACAGCUUUGUGCAGGUGUCAGUUCUGCACCAAAAGAAAAACCUUUUUGUUAUUGUUAUUAUUUUGGAAAUAUGUCUUCCUCCACUUCACACUGCUGUGCUAGGAAAUAUUUUUAAGUGUAAAUGAGGCCAAAAUCUUUGCUGGGCAGCUUUGGUGCUCCUGUGGGUGCCCUGGCCUGGGAGAGAACCAACAGAAGUUCCCCUGCCCUGCAGCUGGGGGGGAGCAGUGGGGGUUAAUGUUAAUUCUCUUCCAGUUACUCAGCAAUCAGCUGGUAACCAGUCCGUAUCAGUAGGCAAAACCCCACCAGACGUCCCAGCUCAGCAAUCUCCUUGCUGUGGGGCUGGAGGGCAGUGCCAGCAGGAGGUAAUCCUCCUGGGUGGGGGUCUGCUGGGGCUCCUGAAAGCCUCCCCAGCCAGAGAAGUGAUGGCAUUGUGCACAUCCCUGCAAAGUGCUCAGAAAGGCAGCUGCUUUUCCCUGCACUUCGGACACCACCUUCAUUGGUUUCAACCUGCAUAUGAGCUCCAGGUCCUCUGAUGCCACAUCCCAGCUCUCCACACCUAAAGUACUUCUGAAAGUGACUUAAAAGUGAUGAAAACAGCACCAGAUCAGAACAGAAUGAAGGCAAAAGUUGACGAAGCAUGCAUCCACGUGAGCUGCUCCCAAACUGCAGGAAGGUUCUGAACGCAAACUAGGCAGAAGUCUGUGAAGAAAACUAUUUGGUUUUGAUGGAAAGAAAACAUUUCCAAUAUUGUGUAGAAUGCAGCGCAAGCUCACCCAAAGGGCCAAGCCUCAAGCUGAACUACUGCAUUUGGCAAUUUGAAAAUGCACUGUUAUAAUAAAAGUGAAAUAAAAUAAAAUAAAAUAAAACUUUUUUUUUUUUUUCAAAAUGGAGUGCUCUCAAG